ACGGAGGGUGCAAGCGUUAUCCGGAUUUAUUGGGUUUAAAGGGUGCGCAGGCGGGCUGAUCAGUCAGUGGUGAAAUCCCGGGGCUUAACUCCGGAACUGCCAUUGAUACUGUCAGUCUUGAAUACGGUUGAGGUAGGCGGAAUGUAGCAUGUAGCGGUGAAAUGCAUAGAUAUGCUACAGAACACCGAUCGCGAAGGCAGCUUACCAAGCCGAUAUUGACGCUCAGGCACGAAAGCGUGGGGAGCGAACAGG
RNAcentral lists this ribosomal RNA (252 nucleotides) under uncultured bacterium. RNAcentral's name for it is "partial 16S ribosomal RNA". It matches the Rfam family "Bacterial small subunit ribosomal RNA", at positions 525 to 776 of the family's 1533-position model. The record is from RNAcentral.